UACGUAGGGUGCAAGCGUUGUCCGGAAUUAUUGGGCGUAAAGAGCUCGUAGGCGGUUUGUCGCGUCUGCUGUGAAAACUCGAGGCUCAACCUCGAGACGUCGGUGGAAACCGUUUGGCUAGAGUCCGGAAGAGGAGAGUGGAAUUCCCGGUGUAGCGGUGAAAUGCGCAGAUAUCGGGAGGAACACCGGUGGCGAAGGCGGGUUCUCUGGGCCUGUACUGACGCUGAGGAGCGAAAGCGUGGGGGAGCGAACAGG
RNAcentral lists this ribosomal RNA (255 nucleotides) under uncultured bacterium. Its description in RNAcentral is "partial 16S ribosomal RNA". It matches the Rfam family "Bacterial small subunit ribosomal RNA", at positions 524 to 776 of the family's 1533-position model. The record is from RNAcentral.